GCGGGAAUAGCUCAGUUGGUAGAGCAUAACCUUGCCAAGGUUGGGGUCGCGAGUUCGAG
This 59-nucleotide transfer RNA is filed under the name Acinetobacter baumannii UH9707. RNAcentral describes it as "tRNA-Gly". It matches the Rfam family "tRNA", at positions 1 to 57 of the family's 71-position model. From Rfam's summary of the family: Transfer RNA (tRNA) molecules are approximately 80 nucleotides in length. Their secondary structure includes four short double-helical elements and three loops (D, anti-codon, and T loops). The record is from RNAcentral. Lineage: Bacteria; Pseudomonadati; Pseudomonadota; Gammaproteobacteria; Moraxellales; Moraxellaceae.